CUCAGAAUCAACGCUGGCGGCGCGCUUAACACAUGCAAGUCGCACGGGAAAGCAGGGGCAACCUUGUGAGUACAGUGGCGUACGGGUGAGUAACACGUGGGUAAUCUACCUCCGAGUGGGGAAUAACCCUGGGAAACCGGGGCUAAUACCGCAUAAGCCUGGGAAGGGAAAGCAGCAAUGCGCUGGGAGAGGAGCCCGCGGCCGAUUAGUUAGUUGGCAGGGUAAAGGCCUACCAAGACCGAGAUCGGUAGCCGGCCUGAGAGGGCACACGGCCACACUGGCACUGAAACACGGGCCAGACUCCUACGGGAGGCAGCAGUGGGGAAUCUUGCACAAUGGGGGAAACCCUGAUGCAGCGACGCCGCGUGAGCGAUGAAGCCCUUCGGGGUGUAAAGCUCUUUCGGCAGGGAAGAUGGUGACGGUACCUGCAGAAGCAGCUGCGGCUAACUACGUGCCAGCAGCCGCGGUAAUACGUAGGCAGCGAGCGUUGUUCGGAGUUACUGGGCGUAAAGGGUGUGUAGGCGGUUCUCUAAGUUUGGUGUGAAAUCUCCCGGCUCAACUGGGAGGGUGCGCCGAAAACUGGAAAGCUUGGAGUGCGGGAUGGGAGAGCGGAAUUCCUGGUGUAGCGGUGAAAUGCGUAGAUAUCAGGAGGAACACCGGCGGUGUAGACGGCUCUCUGGACCGUAACUGACGCUGAGACACGAAAGCGUGGGGAGCAAACAGGAUUAGAUACCCUGGUAGUCCACGCCCUAAACGAUGCACGUUUGGUGUGGGUGAUUCAGUUCAUCCGUGCCGGAGCUAACGCGUUAAACGUGCCGCCUGGGGAGUACAGUCG
This 835-nucleotide ribosomal RNA is filed under the name uncultured bacterium. Its description in RNAcentral is "bacterial SSU rRNA". It matches the Rfam family "Bacterial small subunit ribosomal RNA", at positions 23 to 888 of the family's 1533-position model. The record is from RNAcentral.